This 2771-nucleotide ribosomal RNA is filed under the name Escherichia coli. RNAcentral's name for it is "23S ribosomal RNA". It matches the Rfam family "Bacterial large subunit ribosomal RNA". Lineage: Bacteria; Pseudomonadati; Pseudomonadota; Gammaproteobacteria; Enterobacterales; Enterobacteriaceae. The record is from RNAcentral.
GGUUAAACCAGCGCACGGUGGAUGCCACAGCAGUCAGAGGCGAUGAAGGACGUGCUAAUCUGCGAUAAGCGUCGGUAAGGUGAUAUGAACCGUUAUAACCGGCGAUUUCCGAAUGAGCAGUGUGAUUCGUCACUAUGUUUAACUGAAUCCAUGGGAUUAAUGAGGCGAACCGGGAGAUUUGAAACAUCUAAGUACCCCGAGAAAGAAAUCAACCGAGGUCCCCCAGUAGCCGCUGUUGAGCAGGAAGACAGCCGACCUGAAUCCGAAGGUGUUGUUGUGUUGAUAGAGUGAUCUGGAAGGCGCGAUACAGGUGACAGCCCCGUACACAAAAAUGCGAUACUGUGGGCUCGAUAAUUUAGGGCAAGGACGUGUGGUAUCCUGUCUGAAUAUGGGGGGGACCAUCCUCCAAAGGCUCAUCAUACAGACGAUGAUUGAUAAAUACAUUUUGUGGCAAAAAACCAGCGAGGGCUGCAUCCCAAUAAUACGCUGGCAGUGGAGCUCUGCCGGGCGGCUACACAUUAUACUCUGCUGAGGUCGCUGCUUCACCCGCAUAAGGAUUCGCUGGGCUAAGAGGCAAAGCCAGUCUUUCGACGGGGCAGGAUAACAGACCAAAGCUGAUGAUCCAACCUGACGGAUUCGAGGUAUUCAAUGUGCAACGGUUGACUGAUAAUCUUUGGUGCACAUUCGUGAUGCGACUUGUGGCUGAAAUAAGGCUGAUAAGACCGGACAAUGGUUGCUCCAACCUAUUUAGGUAGCGCCUCGUGAAUUCAUCUCCAGGGGUAGAGCACUGUUUCGGCAAGGUCAUCGACUUACCAACCCGAUGCAAACUGCGAAUACCAGAAUGUUAUCACGGGAGACACACGGCGGGUGCUAACGUCAAAUGCGUGAAGAGGAAACAACCGAUACCAGCUAAGGUCCCAAAGUCGCCGAUUCAAAAAUCGAAACAGUCAUGGGAAGGCCCAGACAGCCAGGAUGUUGGCUUAAAGCAGCCAUCAUUUAAAGAAAGCGUAAUAGCUCACUGGUCGAGUCGGCCUGCACGGAAGAUGUAACGGGGCUAAACCAUGCACCGAAGCUGCGGCAACGACACUAUGUGUUGUUCGGUGAGAGCGUUCUGUAAGCUGAAGUUGUGCUGAGGUAUGCUGGGUAUCAGAAGUGCGAGAUAUGACACCAAUAACGAUAAAGCGGGUGUGCUCGCCCGGGCGCAGGGGUUCAUCCAACAUUAAUCAAGGGCGGAUGGUCGACCCCUAAGGCGGGGCCGAAGGCGUAGUCGAUGGGAAACAGGUUAAUAUUCUGUACUGGUGUUACUGCGAAGGGGGGACGGAGAAGGCUAUGUUGGCCGGGCGACGGUUGUCCCGGUUUAAGCGUGUAGGCUGGUUUUCGAACCGUCCGGAAAAUCAAGGCUGAGGCGUGAUGACGAGGCACUACGGUGCUGAAGCAACAAAAUACCUGCACUUCGGAAAAACCUCUAAGCAUCAGGUAACAUCAAAUCGGCCACAAACAAGCACGGUGGUGGUAGAGAAUACCAAAGGCGCUUGAAGAACUCGGGUGAAGGAACUAGGCAAAAUGAUGCCGUAACACUUCGGAAGAAGGCUUUGCUGAUACAUCGGUGAAGUCCUUGCGGAUGGAGCUGAAAUCAGUCAGAAGACAAAGCUGGCUGCAACUGUUUAUUAAAAACACAGCACUGUGCAAACACGAAAGUGGACGUAUACGGUGUGACGCCUGCCCGGUGCCGGAAGGUUAAUUGAUGGGAUUGGCGUGCUGCGAAGCUCUUGAUCAAGCCCGGUAAACGGCGGCCGUAACUAUAACGGUCUAAGGUGGCGAAAUUCCUUGUCGGGCUAAGUUCAUGCACGGGUAUGGCGUAAUGAUGGCCAGGCUAUCUCCACCCAGACUCAGUGAAAUUGAACUCGCUGUGAAGAUGCAGUGUACCCGCGGCAAGACGGAAAGACCCCCGUGAACCUUUACUAUAGCUUGGCGCUGAACAUGACCUUGAUGCAGGAUAGAUUGCAGGAGGCUUUGAAGUGUGGACGCCAGUCUGCAUGGAGCCGACCUUGAAAUCUUCACCCUUUAAUGUUUGAUGUUCUAACGUUGGCCCCUGAUCGGGGUUGCGGACAGUGUCUGGUGGGUAGUUUGACUGGGGCGGUCUCCUCCUAAAAAGGUAACGGAGGAGCACGAGGUUUAGUAAUCGGUGGACAUCAGGAGGUUAGUGCAAUGGCAUAAGCCAGCUUGACUGCAGGCAAUGACGAAAGCGACGGUAUAACAGUCAUAAUGAUCGGUGGUUCUGAAUGGAAGGGCCAUCGCUCAACGGACAAAGACCUCAGGGAUAACAGGCUGAUACCGCCCCAGAGUUCAUAUCAGCAGCAGGUGUUUGGCACCUCGAUAUCGACUCAUGCAUCACGGGGGCUGAAGUAAGUUAAAGAUGGCUGCUGCUGUUUUAAAAUGGUGCCGCUGACUUCCUGGGUUUGAAACGUCGUGAGACAGUUCAAGUCCCCUAUCACCGUGUUGCUGGAGGAAGAUUGGGGGGCUCACUCUAGUGGGGGAUGGUGGGCACAUGCUAGUGUUCGGGUUGUCAUGCCAAUGGCCACUGCAGUGUAGUAAAUGCGGAAGAGAUAAGUGCUGAAAGCAUCUAAGCACGAAACUUGCCCCGAGAUGAGUUCUCCCUGACUCCUUGAGAGUCUGAAGGAACAAUUGAAGACGACGACGUUGAUAGGCCGGGUGUGUAAGCGCAGCGAUGCGUUGGGCAACAAUUGCCCAAUGAACCGUGAGGAAACCCA